UUCUUCCACGCUGAUCCCUGCAGGAGGAUCGAUUUUCCCACGCCGGGGGCGCCCCAGUCUGGUUGCGCCAGUCCGUUCGGGGGGAUCCUAAGGCCGUAGGAUCGCGCGCAUUUGGCCAAUAUAUGUUUUUUAAAAAUUCUUUUAAAAAGGGAAUUUUACCCAGGAGUGAAAGGAGAAGGAGCAGCAACAGCAGCAGGUCCCUUUCCACGUGCAAGCCGGGGAUGAUGGGGAGAGGGGCUGACUUUUUACACCACCGAGCAACAUUCCCACCAAGGAUGCACUCCGAUGUUUUGACGGCAGAAAAAACUUCCUAAUAUAGGUAGCCCUUGACUUAAGACCACAAUGGAAUCCGAAAGUUCUGUGGCUAAGCGAGACAGUUGCUAAGCCAAAAAUGGUGGUUCUCUUAAUUCAAUAUUCAGAGGGAUACAAUCAAGAUCAAGGGAGGUCCUAAUACCACUCUAUAAAGCCUUAGUAAGGCCACACCUAGAGUCCUGCAUCCACUUUUGGUUACCACGCUAUAAAAAAAGAU
Molecule: long non-coding RNA, 529 nt
Organism: Pantherophis guttatus
Lineage: Eukaryota; Metazoa; Chordata; Lepidosauria; Squamata; Colubridae
Source: RefSeq, a predicted model, not a curated record